GUCACGGGCUGCCUCCUCUCUGCAAGUGUCUCAAGGCCAAAGACAGGCUGGUGGGAAAGCUCCGACCAGCAAGGCCAUAUGCUCCCCCUCCCCUACCUAAAACCCCAAAUAAAAACCCUUCCUUUUAGCUUUUUGGGGAGUUUGGGAUUUCAGCGUUAGCUGCCCUCUCUCCUUGCUCAGUGCUGUGCAAAAAUAAAACUCUCCUACUUUCUUCCAUCACACCCGGUGUCAGAGAUUGGCUUGCUGCGCAACGGGACCAGCUGGAAAUAAUGGGUACCUUGGCAGCCCUCUGGGCUCAUUUGUUUUGAAGUUGCUGCAACGCCCCAGCCAAAUUUUGGACACAAUUGGAAACACUGGUUAUAUUACCAAGGCUUUGACUGGAACAUCAUGUUUGAAAAAACAUAUGGGCUUGGAUAUAAUAAAACAGCUUUUGAGGAAUGAAGGUUGACAUUCUGGAAUAAAGCCACUUGGAAAUAUUGGCCUGGUACUGUGUUUAUGGGUUCUGUAACCUGGUAAGGUUGAGCAAAGAAUGUCACUCCCUCUGGCAGGUACAAGGAACCUCAAUAUUUUGGGGAACCUCACGAAGAGAGGGAUUCACCCAAAUCUGUAGUUACUGCAGGCAGAAUCUGAUAACAGGUGCUUUGCUUGGCUUUCCUUGAGAGACCUUUACAGUUCAACCUGAGAUUCCUUAUAAGGUUCCAGCAAAGCAGAUUAAAAAGAGCCUAUAUGAUCAAUUACUAUUCUUGCUGUACUUAUGUAAAUAAUUAUGCCAAAUUUAUUAAAACUAAACACUGUGCAAACCAGUUAGUCUUAAUUUGUCUAUGUCUAGUGAAAUUCAGGGUGAUUUUAGGGAGGAAGAUUAUGUUUCAAUAGAAACUAUAAUACAUGUUUAUAGAUAUUAGAUUUUAGUUUUUUCAAUUGUCUUUGAAAUUUUUGUUUUACUUCUGUUAACUGGACUGGAUCUUGAAUUCUUUGUCUCCUGAAAUAUCUGGCUAAAAAACCCCAAACUAACAUUUUCAGGGUUUUUCCCCAUUAUUUUCAUUUGGAGUCAUUGAAAACUAAAUCUGCCCUUUUUCUUAAAGCCUUACAAACUGAAGCUGGAAGACCUAAUAUAAACUUAAGAGAGAUUCAUGUCUACUGCUGUGUAAGCCACUCAAAAAGCUACCUGAGUGCCGGAUGACACCAUCAAAGACAUUUCAAACUGCAAAAGAUGCUUCAACCCUGACUUCUAAGAUCUUGAUUGGCUACCCCCUGGGCUCAGAAACUGGUUUAUAAUUUGCUCCAAUCAUUAACCUUGUUUUUCUCUUUUUGUUUCUCUAGAAAAACUUCUUAUUAAAUACCUGGUUACUUAGGUACAUGAUACAGGCCUAACUUCAGGAGCCCACCAGCAUUACUGCUUUAUUAAAAGACUGGUUCAAUGAGAUGAAACGACUUACACCCCAUUUCAGCAGGAAGUAGCUAGAUUCGUCGCCGCCCCAAAUCCCUCAAGAUUGAAGGAUGGACAUAAAAUAGGGGGGAGUUGAUACCAACCCUGCUAUCAGUUUCCCCACAUUAAACCCAGCAUAUAUAGGGUUAAAACCAAAACACGCAUUCCCUGCUUACUCUCUGGCUUCCUGGCUCCAAAAUCCACUAUCCUCCAUGGAGACAGACACCGUCAAGGACAAGCACCUGGACUAUCUCCUCCCGCAAAGAGAUAGAGGCUGGUGGGAAAGCUGCUGAUCAGCAAGGUCAUGGGCUGCCUCCUCUCUGCAAGUGUCUCAAGGCCAAAGACAGGCUGGUGGGAAAGCUCUGACCAGCAAGGCCAUAUGCUCCCCCUCCCCUACCUAAAACCCCAAAUAAAAACCCUUCCUUUUAGCUUUUUGGGGAUUUUGGGAUUUCAGCGUUAGCUGCCCUCUCUCCUUGCUCAGUGCUGUGCAAAAAUAAAAUUCCUACUUUCUUCCACCA
RNAcentral lists this long non-coding RNA (1944 nucleotides) under Equus caballus (horse). RNAcentral's name for it is "lncRNA (ENSECAG00000057302.1)". The record is from RNAcentral. Lineage: Eukaryota; Metazoa; Chordata; Mammalia; Perissodactyla; Equidae.